This 473-nucleotide ribosomal RNA is filed under the name uncultured soil bacterium. Its description in RNAcentral is "bacterial SSU rRNA". It matches the Rfam family "Bacterial small subunit ribosomal RNA", at positions 26 to 517 of the family's 1533-position model. The record is from RNAcentral.
AGAACGAACGCUGGCGGCAUGCCUAAUACAUGCAAGUCGAACGAACUCUUCGGAGUUAGUGGCGCACGGGUGCGUAACGCGUGGGAAUCUGCCCCUUGGUUCGGAAUAACAGUUGGAAACGACUGCUAAUACCGGAUGAUGACGAAAGUCCAAAGAUUUAUCGCCAAGGGAUGAGCCCGCGUAGGAUUAGCUAGUUGGAGAGGUAAAGGCUCACCAAGGCAACGAUCCUUAGCUGGUCUGAGAGGAUGAUCAGCCACACUGGGACUGAGACACGGCCCAGACUCCUACGGGAGGCAGCAGUAGGGAAUAUUGGACAAUGGGACGAAAGCCUGAUCCAGCAAUGCCGCGUGAGUGAUGAAGGCCUUAGGUUGUAAACUGCUUUUGACGGAACGAAACGGUCUAGCUUUAAUACGAGUUGGCUAAGUGACGGUACCGUAAGAAUAAGCACCGGCUAACUACGUGACCAGCAGCCG